UGUAGGAUAAAAAACGUUAUAGUUAUGAUAUUUAAAAUGAAAAUUGUUUUCAAAAUGUAUUUGAAAACUAAAAAUAUGUUAUAUAUCAAUAAACGUAAAAUAUUGUUAAACAUAAUACAACUUAUAACGUAAGACCAGGGCUGCAUCAAAACUUACAUGGUAUAUGUGAAAAUAUCAUAAAAAAAAGUGAAAAUAUAAUCUAUGAACAAACUGAUGGAAUGGCAAUAGGAUAAAGACUAGUACCAGUAUUUGUUAACAUACUCAUGGAAUGGUUUAAGAUAAAACAAUGAGUACAUGCACUUAAAAACGCAAAAUGUAGUUACGAUACGUAGACGACAUAUUUGUUUUAUGGCAACACGGCGUUGAUCAACUAAAAUCUUUCUUGCGAUAUUUAAACAGCAAACGUGCUUAUAUACAGUUCACAAUUUGAAACCGAGAAAAAUUAACAAUUGCCGUUCUUGGAUGUAUAUUGGUCAAAAAACAGUACAAUGGAAAAUUCAGCACGGAAGUGUAUCGAAAAAGUACACAUACUGCCAGAUAUUUAUAUGUCGAUUUAUACCACUGCACCUCAAAAAAAUGACGUUACUAUAUAUAAUGAAAACAAGAGCUGUUAGAAUAGCUGACGGAGAACACGUGAAAGAUGAAAAAUCAUAUCUACGGCAAGUACUACAAAAUCAUUGAUACACAAUUAGAAACAUAAACAACGCACUUAGGAAAGCGGAAAAAAUACAACGUGCAACAAUGAUGAUGAAAACAAAGAAGCGAAAAAAAAUGAACACUAAUACUGCCGUACAUACAAGCAAUUAUCGACCGCAUUUCAAGAAUCGCAAAUAAAUUUAAAAUAAGAACAGUCUCCAAACCAAACACAGUUAUAGGAUCACUACUCCGAAAUUCAAAAGACAAACUGUCAGAAAUGCAAACACCCGAAGUCUAUGAAAUACCGUGUUCAUGUGAUAAAUCAUACAUUGAACAAACAAGAAGAGCUAUUACAGCAAGAAUAAAAAAACACAAAAAAGAUGUAGAUUUAUAAAGGACAGAAAAAUCCGCAGUAGUUGAACACGCCAAAAAGUGUACACGAGUCCAAUUUGACAAAGUCAAAAUACUGAUACAAAGGAGUUCAUUUUGGCAAACGGAUGUAUAAAAAAGCAAAAAAAAUUGAAAAAUGUCUAGAAAAUUACAACAGAGAAGAUGGAUGGUUUAUUAGCAAGACUUGGUUUCCUAUCAUACAACAGGCAAAAAGAAAAUCAACAUACAACAAAGAAACUAAUUUAAUGCGUGAAAAAACUAUAAUUAACAUAACAGAAAAAUGCCGGUGUAAAAAAAGGAAGAGUCAAAUGCCAAGAAUGCCAUAAACAACAACAAAAACAAAAACCGGACAUAAAAAAUAAACUGUCAGUUGUCAACAACACAACAAAAACAACAACAGAUAAAUAACAUUGAUGUUAUCAGUUAUCAACUGAUAUAAAAACACACCGUAAACAAGUUAAGCUAACAUUAUAAUUGUAACUUGGAGCUUGUAACUAUCUCUCUGAAGAUGGACUCUGCAACAGGUCCGAAAUGUAAGCUCAUAACUGAAAACGUGGAUACAUCCGUAAACAUAUCAAAGAUGAAGCUUAUUUCCAUUUGAAUGAUGCUAUCAAUAAACAAAACUGUAGGAUCUAGGGGUUUCACAACCCAUAAAAAAUACUUCCACAAAGAAUGACGGUUUGAAGUGGAGGUGUUAUCUAGUAGAUUUUAACUGACUAUUUUAUUUCUGAAUUGGAACAACGCGAAAUUAAUAAGGAGCAAAAGUGGUUAUAACAUGAUGGUGCAACAUGCCAUACGGGUGCACCUGUGGAUUUAUUGCUUAACAACUUUAAAAGCCGCAUCAUCUCAUGAAUGGCAAUUAAAGUUGGACAUUAAAAUCCUUUGGAUUUUUAUUAUGGGGAUAUAUCUGAUACAUAUCUCUUACUGACAUAAGAUUAUGGUGGCGAGGAAGAAUUUUGAUUUUUUUUAAAGAUGUUACAAAAGAUGUAAGAUUUAAUCUUAAAUGAUUCUAGAAAUUAUAAUCAGGUAAAGCCGAACAAUCGAACAAUAAAGAUGGUUUGAUAAAACAAAUCAGUUAAAUACUUACAUUUCUUCUAAAGUUUCAUUUAUGUUUUUUAACCUUGUUAAAUCUCUUACUAAAUCGAAGUGACUUUUGUAGCAGUUGUCUCGAUCAUAUUGGCAAUGUAAAAGGUCACCUCUUGUAUCAUCGAGCUCAUUGUUUACCUUUUCUAUCUUUUUUGUUAAUUCAUCUGUCUAA
This is a long non-coding RNA of Daktulosphaira vitifoliae (grape phylloxera), 2284 nucleotides long. RefSeq lists it as uncharacterized. NCBI's taxonomy places the organism in Eukaryota, Metazoa, Arthropoda, Insecta, Hemiptera, Phylloxeridae. The transcript has 3 exons. The record is from RefSeq and is a predicted model, not a curated record.